AAAGUGGCAGAAUGAGAGAAUAUUGAAGAGGACAAGAGAGCAGCAAAGACAUUACCCCAAGAUGAGAAAGAAGGACAUACAAAGAAAAAGACGAUUACAAAUAAAAAAUAAACUAAUGGAUUGUGUGGCACAUUCUU
RNAcentral lists this long non-coding RNA (137 nucleotides) under Canis lupus dingo (dingo). RNAcentral describes it as "TTC28 antisense RNA 1 conserved region 2 (ENSCAFG00020022424.1)". It matches the Rfam family "TTC28 antisense RNA 1 conserved region 2". The record is from RNAcentral. Lineage: Eukaryota; Metazoa; Chordata; Mammalia; Carnivora; Canidae.